RNAcentral lists this ribosomal RNA (253 nucleotides) under uncultured bacterium. RNAcentral describes it as "partial 16S ribosomal RNA". It matches the Rfam family "Bacterial small subunit ribosomal RNA", at positions 524 to 776 of the family's 1533-position model. The record is from RNAcentral.
UACGUAGGGUGCGAGCGUUAAUCGGAAUUACUGGGCGUAAAGCGUGCGCAGGCGGUUUUGUAAGCCAGAUGUGAAAUCCCCGGGCUUAACCUGGGAACGGCAUUUGGGACUGCAAGGCUGGAGUGUGGCAGAGGAGACUGGAAUUCCCGGUGUAGCAGUGAAAUGCGUAGAUAUCGGGAGGAAUACCGAUGGCGAAGGCAGGUCUCUGGGCUGACACUGACGCUCAUGCACGAAAGCGUGGGGAGCAAACAGG